UAACCAAGAUAUGGAAGAAAUCCAAGUGUCCAUGAAUGAAUAAAGAGAUGGUAUAUAUACAUAUACAUAUAUAUAUAUACACACACAUACAUAUAUAAUGUGAAGGGAGGUGAAGGAAAGAAAUAUUACAGGGAGAUUAAGAGGUACAAACUCCCAGUUGCAAAAUGAUGAGUCAUGGGUAUGAAAUGUACAGUGUGGGAACAAAGUACAGUGAUAGAUCAUAACUAGAUUAUCGUCUUGAUUAUUUUGAAAUGUAUAGAAAUACUGAAUCAAUAUGUUAUGUAACAGAAACUUAUAUAGUGUUGUAGGUCAAUUAUAAUACUAAAAAAACAAGUAAGCAAACAAACUUAUAGAAAAGAAGAUAAGAUUUGUAAUUACCAGAGGCAGAGGGGAGGAGGAAUUGGAUGAAGGCAGUCAAAAGUUACAAACUCCCAAUUAUAAGAUAAGUAAGUACUGGGGACGUAAUGUACAAUAUGCUAAAUAUAACUAACAGUGCUGUCUGUUACUUAUGAGUUGUUAAGAGAGUAAAUCCUAAGAGUUCUCAUCACAAGGGGAAAUUUUUUUUUCUAUUUUAAAAUUUUGUGUCUAUAUGAGACGAUGGAUGUUCUCUAAAUUUACUGUGAUAAUCAUUCGAUGAUGUGAUGGUUUAGUCAUUAACUUGUGUCCAACUCUGCAACGCGUUGGACUGUAACAUGCCAGGCUCUUCUGUCCAUAGGAUUUCCUAGGCAAGAAUACUGAAGUGGGUUGCCAUUACCAACUCCAGGGGAUCUUCCUGACCCAGGGAUCAAACUCGGGUCUCCUGCAUUGCAGGCGGAUUCUUUAUGGUCUGAGCCACCAGGGAAACUCUUGAUGAUGUAUGUAAGCUAAAUCAUUAUGCUAUCUGCCUUAAACUCAUACAGUGCUGUAUGUCUGUUAUAUCUCAGUGAUACUGGAAGAAAAGAAGAUAACCACAUAAGAAAUCAGUAUUCCUGUCAUGGGUGGAUGAUGUCUCCCCCUGAGGAGAGAGGCUGAGGUUCAAUUCAGACUGUCAGCCUUGGUGCUUCCUGGUCAAGCUUCUCUAUUUUCCCAGCAGACUCUACUGGAAUCACUGAGUGGCUGCUGUUGAAUAUGCCCAAGAGGUAACAUCCCUACAGGAGUAAAGAAAAGAAUGAAAAGCCUGGAAGAAAUCCGUUAGGAGUUUCCAGUACUAUUAGGUUCACACUGACUCCACAUGUGAUUUUCUGGAUGUCUAUUUAUAGAGUCACACACAGGCAUUCACACAUGUUUAAUAUUGAUAACAUGUCUGUUCUAGAAAACAUGAGCGUCUCUAAUUCUUAAAUAAUGACUGAUGAAUAAUCCAUUUUUCUUUG
Bos indicus x Bos taurus (hybrid cattle) is the source of this 1349-nucleotide long non-coding RNA. Lineage: Eukaryota; Metazoa; Chordata; Mammalia; Artiodactyla; Bovidae. The record is from Ensembl.